Molecule: ribosomal RNA, 836 nt
Filed under: Haptophyta environmental samples
Lineage: Eukaryota; Haptophyta
Description: bacterial SSU rRNA
Rfam family: Bacterial small subunit ribosomal RNA
Source: RNAcentral
GAGGAAUAAGCAUCGGCUAACUCCGUGCCAGCAGCCGCGGUAAUACGGGGGAUGCAAGCGUUAUCCGGAAUCAUUGGGCGUAAAGCGCCUGUAGGUUGUUUAAUAAGUCUGUUGUUAAAGACUAGGGCUCAACCCUAGAAAAGCAAUGGAAACUACUAGACUAGAGUAUGGCAGGGGUAGAGGGAAUUUCUAGUGUAGCGGUGAAAUGCGUAGAUAUUAGAAAGAACACCGGUGGCGAAAGCGCUCUACUGGACCAUUACUGACACUCAGAGGCGAAAGCUAGGGUAGCAAAAGGGAUUAGAUACCCCUGUAGUCCUAGCCGUAAACGAUGGAUACUAGAUGUUGUGCGUAAAGUACAGUGUCCUAGCUAACGCGUUAAGUAUCCCGCCUGGGGAGUACGCUCGCAAGGGUGAAACUCAAAGGAAUUGACGGGGGCCCGCACAAGCGGUGGAGCAUGUGGUUUAAUUCGAUGCAACGCGAAGAACCUUACCAGGGCUUGACAUACUACGAAUUCUUUUGAGAAAAAGAAGUGCCUUCGGGAAUGUAGAUACAGGUGGUGCAUGGCUGUCGUCAGCUCGUGUCGUGAGAUGUUGGGUUAAGUCCCGCAACGAGCGCAACCCUUAUUUUUAGUUACUAAUUCGUUAGGUUCUCUAGAAAGACUGCCGGUGACAAACCGGAGGAAGGUGAGGAUGACGUCAAGUCAGCAUGCCCCUUAUGCCCUGGGCUACACACGUGCUACAAUGGUUAAGACAAAGAGUCGCGAGCUCGCAAGAGUCAGCUAAUCUCAUAAACUUAGCCUAAGUUCAGAUUGUAGGCUGCAACUCGCCUACGUGAAG